AUUGAACGCUGGCGGCAGGCCUAACGCAUGCAAGUCGAGCGGAUGAAGGGAGCUUGCUCCUGGAUUCAGCGGCGGACGGGUGAGUAAUGCCUAGGAAUCUGCCUGGUAGUGGGGGAUAACGUCCGGAAACGGGCGCUAAUACCGCAUACGUCCUGAGGGAGAAAGUGGGGGAUCUUCGGACCUCACGCUAUCAGAUGAGCCUAGGUCGGAUUAGCUAGUUGGUGGGGUAAAGGCCUACCAAGGCGACGAUCCGUAACUGGUCUGAGAGGAUGAUCAGUCACACUGGAACUGAGACACGGUCCAGACUCCUACGGGAGGCAGCAGUGGGGAAUCUUGGACAAUGGGCGAAAGCCUGAUCCAGCCAUGCCGCGUGUGUGAAGAAGGUCUUCGGAUUGUAAAGCACUUUAAGUUGGGAGGAAGGGCAGUAAGUUAAUACCUUGCUGUUUUGACGUUACCUACAGAAUAAGCACCGGCUAACUUCGUG
Molecule: ribosomal RNA, 484 nt
Filed under: uncultured bacterium
Lineage: Bacteria
Description: partial 16S ribosomal RNA
Rfam family: Bacterial small subunit ribosomal RNA
Source: RNAcentral